Chlorocebus sabaeus (green monkey) is the source of this 544-nucleotide non-coding RNA. The record is from RefSeq and is a predicted model, not a curated record. Lineage: Eukaryota; Metazoa; Chordata; Mammalia; Primates; Cercopithecidae.
UUGACUUUGGACGAACCCUUGGGCACGAGCGAGGCACCAUCUAGUACCUGCCACAGAAGUGGGGACACCCCCGUCAGCAGAGGCCAGAGCGCCCCCUCAGCUUCCAGGCCCUGCCAAUCCUGAAGAGACUGAGUUUUAGCACCUUUUUGAAGUUCUGAUUAGGAAACAUCUGUCAUCUAUUGUCUCUAAGGGGAGCCACUAUAAGACUGAAAAAGAACCUUGGUCUCCACAAUCUUUUAUCUUAACCUGAACAUUUCCUUUCUAUUGAUCCCAGGUCUUUAGAUGACUCAACCAAGUGCCAACCAGAAAAUGUUUAAAUUAACCCAUAGCCCGGAAGGCCCCUCCCCACCUUGCUUUUGAGUUGUCCUGCCUUUCUAAACCAAUGUAUUUCUUAAAUGUAUCUGAUUGCUGCCUCAUGCCUCCCUAAAAUGUAUAAAACCAAGCUGCACCCUGACCACCUUGGGCACAUGUUCUCAGGGCCUCCCAAGAGCUAUGUCAUGGCCGUGGUCACUCAUAUUUGGCUCAGAAUAAAUCUUUUCAAAUA